RNAcentral lists this small RNA (102 nucleotides) under Flavobacterium saccharophilum. Its description in RNAcentral is "Flavo-1 RNA". It matches the Rfam family "Flavo-1 RNA". Lineage: Bacteria; Pseudomonadati; Bacteroidota; Flavobacteriia; Flavobacteriales; Flavobacteriaceae. The record is from RNAcentral.
CUGCGUUAGGGAUGGGAGCGGCAUCCUUUUGCGAUAACCCGGACUUUCUUUCUAAAACCAUAACAUCAAUCGCAAAAGAUAUAGCGGACAGCCCGGCCCGGA